RNAcentral lists this ribosomal RNA (477 nucleotides) under uncultured bacterium. Its description in RNAcentral is "partial 16S ribosomal RNA". It matches the Rfam family "Bacterial small subunit ribosomal RNA", at positions 28 to 523 of the family's 1533-position model. The record is from RNAcentral.
AAUGAACGUUGGCGGCGUGGAUUAGGCAUGCAAGUCGCGCGUGUACCCGCAAGGGGAAGGCGGCGUAAGGGACAGUAAUGCGUAGAUACGUGCCCUGGGGUCGGGAAUAGCCACGGGAAACUGUGGGUAAUGCCCGAUAACAUCUCCGGAUCAAAGGUGUGAUUCCGCCCUUGGAUCGGUCUGCAUCCUAUUAGCUUGUUGGCGAGGUAAUGGCUCACCAAGGCAAUGAUGGGUAGGGGGUGUGAGAGCACGACCCCCGUCACUGGGACUGAGACACGGCCCAGACACCUACGGGUGGCUGCAGUCGAGGAUCUUCGGCAAUGGGCGCAAGCCUGACCGAGCGACGCCGCGUGCGGGAUGAAGGCCUUCGGGUUGUAAACCGCUGUCAGUGGGGAGGAAAUGCCGGUGGGUACUCUCAUUGGUUUGACCUAUCCGCAGAGGAAGCAAGGGCUAAGUUCGUGCCAGCCGCCGCGGUAA